Molecule: long non-coding RNA, 214 nt
Filed under: Malus domestica (apple)
Lineage: Eukaryota; Viridiplantae; Streptophyta; Magnoliopsida; Rosales; Rosaceae
Description: long non-coding RNA (MDOM_LNC017418)
Source: RNAcentral
AUGAGGAUCAAGAACUUCAAGUUCUAAUUUAAUCAAGGAGCUUCGGGUCUUGGUAUAUACUCAUCACAACAAAAUGUAGUACAAUAGGUAUAUUAUAGUAAAGGGCGGUUAUUCCAUCCACCGUAGAUAAAUUGCUUUUAAUAAGUAAUGAUUGUGACAAGGGCUUUAGUACAACACCAUUCACAUAAUAUCAAAACUUAAAGAUAAUGACUAU